GAGGACACACGGACGGCGUCCAUCCUUCAUGUGGCCAUGUGUAACCUGAGGCGUCCCCUGCCUCCAAGCCCUCCAUAUGUCUGUCUCUCCCUUCCCCUGUGUGCACGUCUCUCCUCAGCAGCCGUCUCUGCGCGGACCUCCCCCUCUCAGCUCCUCCCCUAGCUGUCUCUUUCUCUAGGAGUGUCUUUGUCUGGGUGUCUCUCAGAUCCCUCAGACAGCUGCACAGAGAGGACCCAAGAGACGUUUCUCAGAGAGGCCAGACCCCCAGAUCACAAUCUGAGAUGUCGGAGUUACAAGAAGUUCAGAUUACGGAUGAGAAUGCUCUUCUGCAGGAUCCCUUAAAGGCAGCUGAGCUAGCAGCAAAACUACUUCAAGUGCAAGAACAGGUAUGCCUGCGUCUAUGACGGAGAGCCUCCCAUCCUGUAUAUUUGGGAGGUUGCUUGUGCAUGUCUUAUCAGCGUGUAAGGAAUAGCCAUGCCUUCUAUGAAGGUGCCGUCUGUGUCCUCUGUAUGGGAUGGUCUUC
Long non-coding RNA from Bufo gargarizans (Asiatic toad), 523 nucleotides. RefSeq lists it as uncharacterized. NCBI's taxonomy places the organism in Eukaryota, Metazoa, Chordata, Amphibia, Anura, Bufonidae. The record is from RefSeq and is a predicted model, not a curated record. The transcript is spliced from 3 exons.